Molecule: ribosomal RNA, 890 nt
Filed under: Pseudofusicoccum kimberleyense
Lineage: Eukaryota; Fungi; Ascomycota; Dothideomycetes; Botryosphaeriales; Botryosphaeriaceae
Description: LSU rRNA
Rfam family: Eukaryotic large subunit ribosomal RNA
Source: RNAcentral
UAAGCAUAUCAAUAAGCGGAGGAAAAGAAACCAACUGGGAUUGCCUUAGUAACGGCGAGUGAAGCGGCAACAGCUCAAAUUUGAAAUCUGGCGUCUUUGGCGUCCGCGUUGUAAUUUGUAGAGGAUGCUUCGGCGAGGGCUCCGGUCUAAGUUCCCUGGAACGGGACGUCAUGGGGGGUGAGAAUCCCGUAUGUGAUCGGUUGCCUAAGCCAUGUGAAGCUCCUUCGACGAGUCGAGUUGUUUGGGAAUGCAGCUCUAAAUGGGAGGUAAAUUUCUUCUAAAGCUAAAUACCGGCCAGAGACCGAUAGCGCACAAGUAGAGUGAUCGAAAGAUGAAAAGCACUUUGGAAAGAGAGUUAAAAAGUACGUGAAAUUGUUGAAAGGGAAGCGCUUGCAACCAGACUCGUCCGCAGUUGCUCAGCCGGUCUCUUGACCGGCGUACUCUUCUGCGGCCGGGCCAGCAUCAGUUCGGGCGGCCGGAUAAAGGCCUCGGGAAUGUAGCACCCUUCGGGGUGUGUUAUAGCCCGGGGUGGAAUGCGGCCAGCCUGGACUGAGGAUCUCGCUUCGGCUAGGAUGCUGGCGUAAUGGUUGUAAGCGGCCCGUCUUGAAACACGGACCAAGGAGUCUAACAUCUAUGCGAGUGUUUGGGUGUCAAACCCAUGCGCGUAAUGAAAGUGAACGGAGGUGGGAACCCUCACGGGUGCACCAUCGACCGAUCCUGAUGUCUUCGGAUGGAUUUGAGUAUGAGCAUAGCUGUUGGGACCCGAAAGAUGGUGAACUAUGCCUGAAUAGGGUGAAGCCAGAGGAAACUCUGGUGGAGGCUCGCAGCGGUUCUGACGUGCAAAUCGAUCGUCAAAUUUGGGUAUAGGGGCGAAAGACUAAUCGAACCAU